UUAAACAACGAUCCCUUGUCUGGGGUGAUGUGGAAGGUGCAACCGGAGUCCAGCACCCACUUGUCCUCAGUAGACACGGUGCUUGCUGUUAGAAUCAUUCUUCAGUUACUUGCAAUGGUAAGGAGAAGAACACCAGUGAGUUUUACAACCAUCUAUGCUUCACCCUUCUUGUAACAACUCUCCAUUGCACACACAAUGGGCAGCAUUCUUUCUCUUACACUCGGUUUUGGUGAUGAACUAAGAAUACCUCUUGUGAACCUGAAACAUCACUCAAACUCCAGCAAAGAUUAAGACAUAAUUGCAUUGGGAUCAAUCCUUGACUUCAUCAAGUUUGAUCACCAAUGUCUCAAACUUUAUUACACUAGAUGUCAAGUUCUCAUCUAUGCAAGCAACCAU
Molecule: long non-coding RNA, 396 nt
Filed under: Brassica napus (rape)
Lineage: Eukaryota; Viridiplantae; Streptophyta; Magnoliopsida; Brassicales; Brassicaceae
Description: long non-coding RNA (BNAP_LNC006504)
Source: RNAcentral